GUGAGGAAUAUUGGUCAAUGGGCGGGAGCCUGAACCAGCCAAGUCGCGUGAAGGAAGAAGGAUCUAUGGUUCGUAAACUUCUUUUGCAGGGGAAUAAAGUGCAGGACGUGUCCUGUUUUGUAUGUACCCUGAGAAUAAGGAUCGGCUAACUCCGUGCCAGCAGCCGCGGUAAUACGGAGGAUCCGAGCGUUAUCCGGAUUUAUUGGGUUUAAAGGGUGCGUAGGUGGUUUGAUAAGUCAGCGGUGAAAGUUUGCAGCUUAACUGUAAAAAUGCCGUUGAAACUGGCGGACUUGAGUGUAAAUGAGGUAGGCGGAAUGCGUGGUGUAGCGGUGAAAUGCAUAGAUAUCACGCAGAACUCCGAUUGCGAAGGCAGCUUACUAAGCUACAACUGACACUGAAGCACGAAAGCGUGGGGAUCAAACAGGAUUAGAUACCCGUGUAGUCC
Molecule: ribosomal RNA, 445 nt
Filed under: uncultured bacterium
Lineage: Bacteria
Description: partial 16S ribosomal RNA
Rfam family: Bacterial small subunit ribosomal RNA
Source: RNAcentral